AACGAACGCUGGCGGCAGGCCUAACACAAGCAAGUCGAGCGCCCCGCAAGGGGAGCGGCGGACGGGUGAGUAACGCGUGGGAAUAUGCCCUUUGCUACGGAAUAGUCUCGGGAAACUGGGGGUAAUACCGUAUACGCCCUUUGGGGGAAAGAUUUAUCGGCGAAGGAUUAGCCCGCGUUGGAUUAGGUAGUUGGUGGGGUAAUGGCCUACCAAGCCGACGAUCCAUAGCUGGUUUGAGAGGAUGAUCAGCCACACUGGGACUGAGACACGGCCCAGACUCCUACGGGAAGCAGCAGUGGGGAAUCUUAGACAAUGGGGGCAACCCUGAUCUAGCCAUGCCGCGUGAGUGAUGAAGGCCUUAGGGUUGUAAAGCUCUUUCAGCUGGGAAGAUAAUGACGGUACCAGCAGAAGAAGCCCCGGCUAACUCCGUG
RNAcentral lists this ribosomal RNA (431 nucleotides) under uncultured bacterium. RNAcentral's name for it is "partial 16S ribosomal RNA". It matches the Rfam family "Bacterial small subunit ribosomal RNA", at positions 29 to 507 of the family's 1533-position model. The record is from RNAcentral.